CCAAUAGCGUAUAUUAAAGUUGUUGCAGUUAAAAAGCUCGUAGUUGAAUUUCGGGGUUAGUAGGUCGGUCAUGCCACUGGUAUGUACUGGUCUCACUGAUUCCUCCUUCCUGAUGAACCGUAAUGCCAUUAAUUUGGUGUUGCGGGGAGACUGGACUGUUACUUUGAAAAAAUUAGAGUGUUUAAAGCAGGCUAACGCUUGAAUACAUUAGCAUGGAAUAAUGAGAUAGGACGUUCGAUCCUAUUUUGUUGGUUUCUAGGAUUGACGUAAUGAUUAAUAGUGAUAGUUUGGGGCAUUAGUAUUCAAUUGUCAGAGGUGAAAUUCUUGGAUUUAUUGAAGAAUAACUACUGCGAAAGCAUUUGCCAAGGAUGUUUUCAUUAAUCAAGAACGAAAGUUAGGGGCUCGAAGACGAUCAGAUACCGUCGUAGUCUUAACCAUAAACUAUGCCGACUAGGGAUCGGAUGAUGUUAAUUUUUUAAUGACUUAUUCGGCGCCUUACG
Molecule: ribosomal RNA, 500 nt
Filed under: uncultured Glomeromycotina
Lineage: Eukaryota; Fungi; Glomeromycota
Description: partial small subunit ribosomal RNA
Rfam family: Eukaryotic small subunit ribosomal RNA
Source: RNAcentral